GACGUAGGAGGCGAACGUUAUCCGGAUUCACUGGGCGUAAAGCGCAUGUAGGCGGUUCGAUAAGUCCGCUGUUAAAGCCCCCGGCUCAACUGGGGGAGGUCAGUGGAGACUAUAGGACUUGAGGGCAACAGAGGCACGUGGAACUCCCGGUGUAGCGGUGGAAUGCGUAGAGAUCGGGAAGAACACCAGUGGCGAAGGCGACGUGCUGGGUUGCGACUGACGCUGAGAUGCGAAAGUGUGGGGAGCAAACGGG
This 253-nucleotide ribosomal RNA is filed under the name uncultured bacterium. Its description in RNAcentral is "partial 16S ribosomal RNA". It matches the Rfam family "Bacterial small subunit ribosomal RNA", at positions 524 to 776 of the family's 1533-position model. The record is from RNAcentral.